ACCAGACUCCUACGGGAGGCAGCAGUGGGGAAUAUUGCACAAUGGGGGAAACCCUGAUGCAGCGACGCCGCGUGGGUGAAGAAGUAUUUCGGUAUGUAAAGCCCUCUCAGCAGGGAAGAAAGAAGACGGUACCUGACUAAGAAGCCCCGGCUAACUACGUGCCAGCAGCCGCGGUAAUACGUAGGGGGCGAGCGUUAUCCGGAUUCACUGGGUGUAAAGGGAGCGUAGACGGCCGUGCAAGCCAGGAGUGAAAGCCCGGGGCCCAACCCCGGGACUGCUCUUGGAACUGUGCGGCUGGAGUGCGGGAGGGGCAGGCGGAAUUCCUGGUGUAGCGGUGAAAUGCGUAGAUAUCAGGAGGAACACCGGCGGCGAAGGCGGCCUGCUGGACCGCGACUGACGUUGAGGCUCGAAAGCGUGGGGAGCGAACAGGAUUAGAUACCCCCGUAGG
RNAcentral lists this ribosomal RNA (448 nucleotides) under uncultured bacterium. Its description in RNAcentral is "bacterial SSU rRNA". It matches the Rfam family "Bacterial small subunit ribosomal RNA", at positions 330 to 794 of the family's 1533-position model. The record is from RNAcentral.